AGCGAACGCUGGCGGCAGGCUUAACACAUGCAAGUCGAGCGGGCCUUUCGGGGUCAGCGGCGGACGGGUGAGUAACGCGUGGGAACGUGCCCUCUGGUUCGGAAUAACUCAGGGAAACUUGAGCUAAUACCGGAUACGCCCUUUUGGGGAAAGGCUUGCUGCCGGAGGAUCGGCCCGCGUCUGAUUAGCUAGUUGGUGAGGUAACGGCUCACCAAGGCGACGAUCAGUAGCUGGUCUGAGAGGAUGAUCAGCCACACUGGGACUGAGACACGGCCCAGACUCCUACGGGAGGCAGCAGUGGGGAAUAUUGGACAAUGGGCGCAGGCCUGAUCCAGCCAUGCCGCGUGAGUGAUGAAGGCCUUAGGGUUGUAAAGCUCUUUUAUCCGGGACGAUAAUGACGGUACCGGAGGAAUAAGCCCCGGCUAACUUCGUG
RNAcentral lists this ribosomal RNA (433 nucleotides) under uncultured bacterium. Its description in RNAcentral is "partial 16S ribosomal RNA". It matches the Rfam family "Bacterial small subunit ribosomal RNA", at positions 29 to 507 of the family's 1533-position model. The record is from RNAcentral.